UUCCAUGAUGAGGACAAUAUCGAAUGUAUCCUUGCAAACGCUCCCAUGCUUCUGAAAUGGUUUCUAUCUUUAGCUGUUGGAAGUUGGUAAUCUUUCCUCUUAAGGCA
RNAcentral lists this small nucleolar RNA (107 nucleotides) under Sorghum bicolor (sorghum). RNAcentral's name for it is "Plant small nucleolar RNA R71". It matches the Rfam family "Plant small nucleolar RNA R71". From Rfam's summary of the family: R71 is a member of the C/D box family of snoRNAs containing the C (UGAUGA) and D (CUGA) box motifs. Multiple nearly identical copies of this snoRNA have been identified in Arabidopsis, and it is thought to function as a 2'-O-ribose methylation guide for 18S ribosomal RNA. Lineage: Eukaryota; Viridiplantae; Streptophyta; Magnoliopsida; Poales; Poaceae. The record is from Rfam by way of RNAcentral.